This 253-nucleotide ribosomal RNA is filed under the name uncultured bacterium. RNAcentral describes it as "partial 16S ribosomal RNA". It matches the Rfam family "Bacterial small subunit ribosomal RNA", at positions 524 to 776 of the family's 1533-position model. The record is from RNAcentral.
UACCGAGGGGGCAAGCGUUGUUCGGAAUUACUGGGCGUAAAGGGCGCGUAGGCGGCCUUCUAAGUCGAACGUGAAAUCCCCGGGCUCAACCCGGGAACUGCGUCCGAUACUGGAUGGCUAGAGUCUGGUAGGGGGAUCUGGAAUUCCUGGUGUAGCGGUGGAAUGCGCAGAUAUCAGGAGGAACACCGGUGGCGAAGGCGGGAUCCUGGGCCAGUACUGACGCUGAGGAGCGAAAGCGUGGGGAGCAAACAGG